GCAAGUCGAACGCAAUCUUUGACUAAUGAGUGCUUGCACUCAGCAGUUAAAGUGCGAGUGGCGAACGGGUGAGUAACACGUGGGCAAUCUGCCCAAAAGUGGGGGAUAACACUUGGAAACAGGUGCUAAUACCGCAUCAACCGGCUGACCGCAUGGUCGGCCGGGCAAAGACGGCGUCAGCUGUCGCUUUUGGAUGAGCCCGCGGCGUAUUAACUAGUUGGUAAGGUAACGGCUUACCAAGGUGAUGAUACGUAGCCGAACUGAGAGGUUGAUCGGCCACAUUGGGACUGAGACACGGCCCAAACUCCUACGGGAGGCAGCAGUAGGGAAUCUUCCACAAUGGACGCAAGUCUGAUGGAGCAACGCCGCGUGUAUGAAGAAGGUCUUCGGAUCGUAAAAUACUGUUGUCAGAGAAGAACACGUGAUAGAGUAACUGCUAUGGCGCUGACGGUAUCUGACCAGCAAGUCACGGCUAACUAC
This 480-nucleotide ribosomal RNA is filed under the name uncultured bacterium. Its description in RNAcentral is "bacterial SSU rRNA". It matches the Rfam family "Bacterial small subunit ribosomal RNA", at positions 57 to 504 of the family's 1533-position model. The record is from RNAcentral.